RNAcentral lists this ribosomal RNA (230 nucleotides) under uncultured eukaryote. RNAcentral describes it as "partial 18S ribosomal RNA". It matches the Rfam family "Eukaryotic small subunit ribosomal RNA", at positions 1208 to 1456 of the family's 1831-position model. The record is from RNAcentral.
GGAAAUCUCACCAGGCCCGGACACUGGAAGGAUUGACAGAUUGAGAGCUCUUUCUCGAUUCGGUGGGUGGUGGUGCAUGGCCGUUCUUAGUUGGUGGAGUGAUUUGUCUGGUUAAUUCCGUUAACGAACGAGACCUUAGCCUGCUAAAUAGUAAUGCUUAUUUACGAAUAGGUUUUUUACUUCUUAGAGGGACUUUGUGAUUCCAAGCACAAGGAAGUUUGAGGCAAUAA